Molecule: ribosomal RNA, 512 nt
Filed under: uncultured bacterium
Lineage: Bacteria
Description: bacterial SSU rRNA
Rfam family: Bacterial small subunit ribosomal RNA
Source: RNAcentral
AACGCUGGCGGCGUGCCUAAUACAUGCAAGUCGAACGGCUUUUCUAUGGAAGCUUGCUUCCACUGAGAAGAUAGUGGCGAACGGGUGAGUAACACGUGGGUAACCUGCCCAUAAGAGGGGGAUAACAUCCGGAAACGGGUGCUAAUACCGCAUAGUUUCUUGAUCGCAUGAUCGGGAAAGGAAAGACGGCCUUUGUGCUGUCGCUUAUGGAUGGACCCGCGGCGUAUUAGUUAGUUGGUGAGGUAACGGCUCACCAAGACGAUGAUACGUAGCCGACCUGAGAGGGUGAUCGGCCACAUUGGGACUGAGACACGGCCCAAACUCCUACGGGAGGCAGCAGUAGGGAAUCUUCCGCAAUGGACGAAAGUCUGACGGAGCAACGCCGCGUGAGUGAAAGAAGGUUUUCGGAUCGUAAAACUCUGUUGUCAGAGAAGAACAAGUUGGAGAGUAACUGCUCCAGCCUUGACGGUAUCUGACCAGAAAGCCACGGCUAACUACGUGCCAGCCGCGGC